Non-coding RNA from Oryza punctata, 61 nucleotides. The record is from Rfam. NCBI's taxonomy places the organism in Eukaryota, Viridiplantae, Streptophyta, Magnoliopsida, Poales, Poaceae.
AUAGAGAUGGCUGAGUGGACUAAAGCGGCGGAUUGCUAAUCCGUUGUACAAUUUUUUUGUU